Pteropus vampyrus (large flying fox) is the source of this 103-nucleotide small nuclear RNA. The record is from Ensembl. NCBI's taxonomy places the organism in Eukaryota, Metazoa, Chordata, Mammalia, Chiroptera, Pteropodidae.
GCUCACUUCGUCAGCACAUGCUAAAAUUGGAACGAUACAGAGAACAUUAGUAUGGGUGCUGCACAAGGAUGACACACAAAUUUGUGAAGCAUUCCAUAUUUAA